UCCUCAUUUCACGUGCUCCCUCACCAGUCAGAGAGGCGAGAGAGUGUGUGAAAUGAAGAGA
This 61-nucleotide microRNA precursor is filed under the name Pristionchus pacificus. RNAcentral's name for it is "mir-8364 microRNA precursor family". It matches the Rfam family "mir-8364 microRNA precursor family". Lineage: Eukaryota; Metazoa; Nematoda; Chromadorea; Rhabditida; Neodiplogasteridae. The record is from Rfam by way of RNAcentral.